This 3728-nucleotide long non-coding RNA is filed under the name Canis lupus familiaris (dog). RNAcentral describes it as "lncRNA (ENSCAFG00845010230.1)". Lineage: Eukaryota; Metazoa; Chordata; Mammalia; Carnivora; Canidae. The record is from RNAcentral.
UUUUUUUUUUUUUUUUUCCCCCAAACAAAUGAUAAGCUGUUUAACAAGUGAUCUAGCUUGAAGGAUCUGAGGCAGAAAUUCUCCAAAAAUGUACUAUUUCAUUUCAGGGGUUGGACUACUAUAUAUCACCUUUCACUCUGUCUUGACAAAAAUGUUAACGAAAACAGUAGCAUAUAAAAUACUGAAAGAAACCUGCGCUAGGAUGAAGAUUUCAGGACUUAACUACAAUUUCUCUAGGCUUUUUCUUAUAAAUCUUUUCAAUAAUAACCAUUUAUGCAGCAGCUGGUAGGCACUGUACCAUUUUAUUAUUUAGAAUUUUUUCACUACUUUGAAGAGUUUUCCACAUUUUUGUUUAAUCAUGUAUAGAAAUGUUCCAAAUGGGAACUUAAAAAAAAAAUCCUCUAAAAUGCAAUUUCCAUAGUUUCAUAGUCACAUCCCAGAGAAACGUUAAAAUUUAUUUUAAGGCCUUCUCCAACCACCUUAAGUAGGAACCUACCUAUUACACUCUUAGUACAAAGUCUCAUCACAUUAGCAAUUUUUUCACGCAGUUUGUUCCCCUUCCCCUCUCCCUAUCCACAUCACGAAGGCAAGGUAACUGUUAGAUAUUACUAUAAGAAUUUACAUUUGUAGCCUCAUUAAAACCUGCCACAUUAAGAUAGCUAUUUAUACUCUAUUGUCAAAGUGGUAAAUGAGAUUUAAGUUACGGGAAUACAUUUCCUCAAGUCUCACAGCUAAUAAAGGCAGAGUCUGGACUUAGUCCCAAAGCCCUGUAUUAAUAUCACAGAACUGCCCUUAGAGUGCAUCUGUUGGUUAGUAAAAAUCCUCUAGUAACUGCUAAAGGGAUCACGAUAAAUGAAAAACUUCAGCACACUUAUAAAUGUGACAAAUCGUUAUUUUUAAUAUGCUAGCACACUAUUCAUUGUAAUGGGAUCCAAACACUUUACUCCCGUCAAUGUUCUCUUAUGAGCAUUCUAGCCACACAGUUAUUUAAUAAAAAAAAAAAAAGAAAGAAAAAAAAAAAGAAAAGAAAAAUGCUACUUCUAACUAAAGAAGAAAUUAGGUCAAAUCUCUGAUUUCAGGAGUCACACAGCAAAGAGGCAGGAACCUGAGGCCCAGCUCUGGUUCGACCUCCCACGCCAGUCCUGCCAGCUUUCGGGGUCGAGCCACGCAGCCCCACCCCACUACCUUCAGUUUAUCACUGACAGCCCAACAGCUCAGGUCCCACAUAGUAACGCAUCUUUACUUCUACAAAAUCACCCUAAGAUGGUUUUAAAAACAGGCUUUACCUAUCACAUAUUUUAUUUAUGACCAUGAACUACUCUAAUAAUAACACAUUAUAAUUACCAAAUAACCAAAUCUGAUUAAUCUGAACUCCGAACAUUACAUCUCAGAAAGUUUCACUCUCCCUAACUUACGUGGAGUAUAAAAACACAUACACAUGCUCAUAUAUGUAUAUGAGUAUCUAUACAAGAAACACCUGUUCACAUAUUCCAUAAACACUUAAGGCAUGUUUUAAAGGUUCUGAAGGACUGAAAAGUACAAAACUAUAACUAAGUAGCACAAGUUGCUUAAACCCAUAGACUUCCAAAACAUUUCUAGCUUCGGAAAUAGCUUAGAUGGGGAAAAAACUGCUUUUUAUGAAGACUAGGAUACUCAGUCACCACCAACUCCUCUGUCCAAGAAUCAAGGGAGAAGGGAUUAUUUCUGAUUCUUAUCAGCUUCUCCCAGCAUCAAGUUGGGGUCAGGCGCAUCACAAGGUUAAAAAUGAAUCCUUUCCCUCCCCCCUAGUAACGUCCUCCCCACACAGGUAAAUUAUCAUCACCCAGGUACGUAACCUGCAAGCACAUGCCUAGGAUCCUGCAGUCAUCUUUAUGGUUAUAGCUCACUUCAGCAGAACAUGGCUCUAGCUCUUUGAAAGCAGUCUGGGUUUUUCCUGUGGGUAUUUAUGUCCAUUGUCAUUGGGGAAAGCUAUGUUUUCCAGCAGGAAACAGGAAUGAUGAGGGCAAAACCAAUUAAUCAAGAGAGACUGCUCAGUGUGGGAUCCGAAGGAACAACGGCUGUAGGUGGGACACAGGUGAACAUGAGCAAGUUAUAUUUCAAAAGCCAAAUUAUCUGACCAGUGCUUCUGUAACUUUCUGAUCUCAGGAUGAUUCUUUAAAAAUAUUAAAGACCCAAAUAACUCGUUUAUGUGGACUACAACUGUUGUCAUCUAUCUUACUGGAAAUUAAAAUUGAGAAAAUUUAAAUCUAUUCAUUAAUUGAUUUUAAAACAACAAACCCAUCGCAUGUUAACAUAAACAUGUUUUAUGGGAAAAAAAAAUCACUACGGUUUCCAAACAAAAGUGAGGAAAAAAUGGCAUUAUUUUAUAUUUCUGCAAAUUGCUCUAAUGUCUGGCAUAAUAGAAAAUAUCGAGAUUAUCGUAUCAGCUUCUCCAUUUGAUCUGUUGCCUAAUCAUACAUCACAUAACCUCUGGAAUACUUCCAUCUACACUCAUGACAGGAUUAAAGUGGGAAAAGAAAAUACUGUCUACACUUGUAAUAAAAAUUGUCUUGGUCUCCCGGACUUAAAGGGGAUUCUGAGGACACUGAACCACACAUUGGGGGGGGGGGGGGGGGUGCUGGUCUAGAUUCUACAACCGUUUUCAUUUUACUUUCAUCUCCACCCUUUCAUUAAGUCUUCUGGAACAUUUCUGUCUCAUAUCGGUUUUGCUACAGAGAACGAAGAAGAGCCCUCUAUACCCACUUGUGCCAGAAAGUUAAUAGGAGAACAGCAACCCUCACCUAUCAAAGUGGUGGUAGCCUCAGGAUCCUAAAAAGGUCUACACCUCUCCAAGGGUAAAGUAAAUCUCAAAUAAAAAGCCAGGGCCUUUUGGUAGAAUUUCUUCUUCUCACCAAAAGUCAUGUGCAUAAAAUGCAAAAGAAGGUAGGGGAGGAUGAUGAAUACAUGGCUGUGUGCCACAUGCAGAAAGUCAGAGACAUCAACCGGUGCAGUCAGAUUGAAAAAGCCACUUUCUUUUCCCAUGAUGGUUAAAAAAUGAUGGGGUAUGAAAGAAAACAGAAAGUCAAAGCACAAAAGAGGAAAAACAGAACAGUAACAAUUACAAAUAGUCGCCAUUAGAAUCCACAACCAGAACAGCAGAUGCAGGGAGGAAACCACAGCAGCCACAGUUCCCCUGGCUUUAGGGAGAACAUGGGGGGAAAAGGGACACCUGGUUGGGCCACAAUUCUCCAAAAGCUCUUCCAGGCUUCAUGGCACCACUCUAACCACUAACUAAUCUCUAUAUGUCAUAAGGCGAACAAACAAAAAGCCACAGUGAAGUAUAGAAAAGUUGGAGCACUCUAGAAAUGUAGACUCAACACCACAAAGUAGUACAUAAAAACUGUCCCCUACAGAAAAAGAAAACAGAGGCAGGGGGGAAAAAGAUAUUCACAGAAAAAAAAAAAUCAGAAAAUGUGUAUUUCUGUGUAACAGAACAAAGAUAGAAACAGAGUGCAAUACAUCUAUGGCUAUGCCAUAGUCCUCAAUCUAACCUCCUUGAUACAAAGGCGCAUCUGUAUUUCACAGUGGAAAUUUGGAGUCCACCUAAAUCCAUCCAUUCAAUAAAUAUUUAUUGAGCCAGAUGCACUAGAGUGGUGAACAAAACAAAAUCCCUGCCUUCACAGAGCUUAUAUUCUAGUGGGAAAAUAAAGACAAAUGUAAGUAUGUUAAACGUAUAAACAUAUAUAGUA